AACCUUCGCAAUGUGAGAAAUCGCGACGGGGGGAUCCCAAGUGCCAUUCUUAACGGGAUGGCUUUUCAUUAGUGUAAAGAGCUUUUGGAAUAAGAGCUGGGCAAGACCGGUGCCAGCCGCCGCGGUAACACCGGCAGCUCUAGUGGUAACAAUUUUUAUUGGGCCUAAAGCGUCCGUGGCCGGUUUAAUAAGUCUCUGGUGAAAUCCUGCAGCUUAACUGUGGGAAUUGCUGGAGAUACUAUUAGACUUGAGAUCGGGAGAGGUUAGAGGUACUCCCAGGGUAGAGGUGAAAUUCUGUAAUCCUGGGAGGACCGCCUGUUGCGAAGGCGUCUAACUGGAACGAUUCUGACGGUGAGGGACGAAAGUUAGGGGCGCGAACCGGGAUUAGAUACCCGGGUAGUCCUAACUGUAAACGAUGCGGACUUGGUGUUGGGGUGGCUUUGAGCUGCUCCAGUGCCGAAGGGAAGCUGUUAAGUCCGCCGUCUGGGAAGUACGGUCGCAAGACUGAAACUUAAAGGAAUU
Molecule: ribosomal RNA, 522 nt
Filed under: uncultured bacterium
Lineage: Bacteria
Description: bacterial SSU rRNA
Rfam family: Archaeal small subunit ribosomal RNA
Source: RNAcentral